This 484-nucleotide ribosomal RNA is filed under the name uncultured bacterium. Its description in RNAcentral is "partial 16S ribosomal RNA". It matches the Rfam family "Bacterial small subunit ribosomal RNA", at positions 30 to 507 of the family's 1533-position model. The record is from RNAcentral.
AUUGAACGCUGGCGGCAGGCCUAACACAUGCAAGUCGAGCGGAUGAAGGGAGCUUGCUCCUGGAUUCAGCGGCGGACGGGUGAGUAAUGCCUAGGAAUCUGCCUGGUAGUGGGGGAUAACGUCCGGAAACGGGCGCUAAUACCGCAUACGUCCUGAGGGAGAAAGUGGGGGAUCUUCGGACCUCACGCUAUCAGAUGAGCCUAGGUCGGAUUAGCUAGUUGGUGGGGCAAAGGCCUACCAAGGCGACGAUCCGUAACUGGUCUGAGAGGAUGAUCAGUCACACUGGAACUGAGACACGGUCCAGACUCCCACGGGAGGCAGCAGUGGGGAAUAUUGGACAAUGGGCGAAAGCCUGAUCCAGCCAUGCCGCGUGUGUGAAGAAGGUCUUCGGAUUGUAAAGCACUUUAAGUUGGGAGGAAGGGCAGUAAGUUAAUACCUUGCUGUUUUGACGUUACCAACAGAAUAAGCACCGGCUAACUUCGUG